Molecule: ribosomal RNA, 216 nt
Filed under: uncultured bacterium
Lineage: Bacteria
Description: partial 16S ribosomal RNA
Rfam family: Bacterial small subunit ribosomal RNA
Source: RNAcentral
UGGGAACGUGCCUUUUGGUUCGGAACAACCCAGGGAAACUUGGGCUAAUACCGGAUAAGCCCUUACGGGGAAAGAUUUAUCGCCAUUGGAUCGGCCCGCGUCUGAUUAGCUAGUUGGUGAGGUAACGGCUCACCAAGGCGACGAUCAGUAGCUGGUCUGAGAGGAUGAUCAGCCACACUGGGACUGAGACACGGCCCAGACUCCUACGGGAGGCAG